CGUGCCGGGUGAGGUCGCAUCUCUCCUAUGCAUGAAGAUGAUGAGGAGCGCAGCGAGCGCCACCAUCCAGCACUCUCGUCUUCUUCAGUGUUAAUAGACGCACUCUGUGGCCGCCCACAAGGGUUCUCGUCCUCAUGAGUAGACACCCAGAGAACAUUUUGGUGAUCCAGCACGGUGUUUCGCUGGUCUACACUCGGGCAAAUAAGGCAACUUUUUUCCCCGCCCGGACUACAUAUCAAUAAGCGGAGGAAAAGAAACMMASRGKRAUKSCCYUAGUWCACGGCGARKUUGRAAGCGGCAAUAGCUUCAAAUUUGAAARSYUUGGSCYUCUGGUCCGCAUUGUAAUUUGUAGAGGAKGCUUUUGGGCAGCCACCGGUCUAAGUUCCUUGGARCAGGACGUCAUAGAGGGUGAGARUCCCGUAUGUGACCGGCUUCGGCACCCAAUGUAAAGCUCCUUCGACGAGUCGAGUUGUUUGGGARUGCAGCUCUAAAUGGGAGGUAAAUUUCUUCUAAAGCUAAAUACUGGCGAGAGACCGAUAGCGCACAAGUAGAGUGAUCGAAAGAUGAAAAGCACUUUGGAAAGAGAGUUAAAAAGCACGUGAAAUUGUUGAAAGGGAAGCGCUUGCAAUCAGACUUGGCCUCGGCUGUUCAACCGGUCUUCUGACCGGCCUAUUCAGUCGUGGCCAGGCCAGCAUCAGUUUUGGCGGCCGGAUAAAGGCCUUGGGAAUGUGGCUGUCCCUUCGGGGGCAGUGUUAUAGCCCAGGGUGUAAUACGGCCAGCCGGGACUGAGGUCCGCGCUUCGGCUAGGAUGCUGGCGUAAUGGUUGUAAGCGGCCCGUCUUGAAACACGGACCAAGGAGUCUAACAUCUAUGCGAGUGUUAGGGUGUCAAACCCUUACGCGUAAUGAAAGUGAACGGAGGUGGGAACCGCAAGGUGCACCAUCGACCGAUCCUGAUGUCYUCGGAUGGAUUUGAGUAAGAGCAUAGCUGUUGGGACCCGAAAGAUGGUGAACUAUGCCUGAAUAGGGUGAAGCCAGAGGAAACUCUGGUGGAGGCUCGCAGCGGUUCUGACGUGCAAAUCGAUCGUCGAAUUUGGGUAUAGGGGGCGAAAGACUAAUCGAACCAUCUWGUMRCUGGGUCUGCGACCUUCCCCCCCCGGGAGAGAAAAAAAAACACGGCUCCAAGAAAUGGUUUCGAUUAAGUCCUUUCGCCUUAUACCAAAUUCGACGAUGGAUUGCAGUCAGGAUCGCUUCGAGCUCACACAGUUUCUCUGGCUUCCAUUUUCGCGCUAGUUACAUCUUGUGGGGGCACAGAGUUCUCUCAACAUUCAGACUUCAGAUGGAUGAUGAUGCAUGGCGGGUCAGCUACGUCAUAGCUACGGAUUUGCACUGCACGACUUAGAAACUGACGUCUCAGACGGCGUA
This 1423-nucleotide ribosomal RNA is filed under the name Neocylindroseptoria pistaciae. Its description in RNAcentral is "LSU rRNA". The stretch from base 196 to 1423 matches the Rfam family "Eukaryotic large subunit ribosomal RNA", at positions 1 to 1112 of the family's 3401-position model. Lineage: Eukaryota; Fungi; Ascomycota; Dothideomycetes; Dothideales; Dothideaceae. The record is from RNAcentral.